This 68-nucleotide non-coding RNA is filed under the name human gut metagenome. RNAcentral describes it as "Glycine riboswitch". It matches the Rfam family "Glycine riboswitch aptamer", at positions 9 to 86 of the family's 94-position model. From Rfam's summary of the family: This family represents the bacterial glycine riboswitch. The record is from RNAcentral.
GAUCGGGAGAGAUCGCCGCAGGCGGCGCCGAAGGGGAACGCAGAAGCUCUCAGGCAGAAGGACCGGUU